This 379-nucleotide RNase P RNA is filed under the name Gemmatimonas sp. SM23_52. RNAcentral describes it as "bacterial RNase P". It matches the Rfam family "Bacterial RNase P class A". From Rfam's summary of the family: Ribonuclease P (RNase P) is a ubiquitous endoribonuclease, found in archaea, bacteria and eukarya as well as chloroplasts and mitochondria. Its best characterised activity is the generation of mature 5'-ends of tRNAs by cleaving the 5'-leader elements of precursor-tRNAs. Cellular RNase Ps are ribonucleoproteins. Lineage: Bacteria; Pseudomonadati; Gemmatimonadota; Gemmatimonadia; Gemmatimonadales; Gemmatimonadaceae. The record is from RNAcentral.
CGAGGGGAGCGAGGGGCCGCGGACCGGCGCCAUAGAGGCGGGCGGUUCGAGGAAAGUCCGAGCUCCGCAGGGAAGGGUGCCGGGUAACACCCGGGCGGCGAAAGCCGACGGAAAGUGCCACAGAGAACAGACCGCCAGCAGCCGGGUGCCUGCGUGGCGCCCGGUCGCCGGUAAGGGUGAAACGGUGGGGUAAGAGCCCACCGCCCGCGCGGGUAACCGCCGGGGCACGGCAAACCCCACCCGGAGCAAGGCCAAGCAGGGGAGAGCGGUGACCCGCCGCGUUCUCAUCCCCGGGUAGGCCGCUGGAGGCGUCGGGCAACCGGCGUCGCAGACGAAUGGCCCCCUAGAACAGAACUCGGCUUACGGCUCCCCUCCGCGG